CUCGAAAUAACGAAAACCUCAUCCCUUCUCUCGCGCAGCAUCGCGACGAUAUGUCGCGGUUCUUCCUUCUGUCUCCGUCGCGCCAAUGCCGUCCCUGUAGUUCCCUCUCCUUUUCACCCAUGGCUGCACGAACACCGGUAUUUUUGGUCGUGGCGCGACGAAGAAAAUGCGAUUUCUGUGUGCAUACGAAUGACCGAGAUCGCGAGCCCAUACGUCGGAAAGAGAAAGACUAUAGACAAGUGGGAUCGAAAGGUGCGAGUGUAUACACGCGGAUUUGAGAAAGAAAAGAAAAGAGAAACGAUGGAUGAAGAAGGAGAGGAAGAGAGAGAGAGAAAGAGAGAGAUAGUAGAGAGACAAGGAGAGCAAACAUCAUCGUGAAAACGGUUAGCGCCGUCGGCGUAACCUGAGAGCUUUUCGGACCCUGCAACCAUAUAUGUCCGCCUCGCGCACUCUCUCUCACUCGCGCCACGCUCAAUCCCGUCGUGCUCUCUCGCUUCCACUUACCACUCAAAGAAUCUGCCUUUGCACCCUUCUUCCGCUACUUUUUCAUCGUACCACCGAUCCAACACGGUGCUGUUAAUUUGCCAGUAAUUUACUUCCUCUGUUUUUCACGAGCCAACAUCUUCAACCACUUUUUCUUUUACUUGACUGACAGUGUUAACUAUCGCUGCACGACUGCAUCCUUCCGAAAAUAUGUAUGCGGUCUUCUCUACUCCACAACAUCGAUCAUUCAUCUCGUACGCAUAAUAUCUUGGAAUUCCCUAUAAAUGCAUAUACAUCUGCAAUCCGAUUAUAAUAUUUGACAGGUUCGAUUAUCUCGCGUACUUCCGACUUGGUCGUGCCGUGUCUCGUAUCUGGUACUCGUAGAAGAAAACUUUAUGGUGGUUUUAUAGCGUACGAGACAGCAUGUGCAGCACGAUCGCGGAUACGCGUGCGUCUUCGAUUACGUAGCUCGGUAGAACGCGAAAUUUACGUAAUUUUA
Molecule: long non-coding RNA, 982 nt
Organism: Bombus terrestris (buff-tailed bumblebee)
Lineage: Eukaryota; Metazoa; Arthropoda; Insecta; Hymenoptera; Apidae
Exons: 3
Source: RefSeq, a predicted model, not a curated record